This is a small nuclear RNA of Echinops telfairi (small Madagascar hedgehog), 105 nucleotides long. NCBI's taxonomy places the organism in Eukaryota, Metazoa, Chordata, Mammalia, Afrosoricida, Tenrecidae. The record is from RefSeq and is a predicted model, not a curated record.
GUGCUCGCUUCGGCAGCAUAUAUAGUGAAAUUGGAACUACAGAGAUGAUUAGCAUGGCCCCAGUGCAAGGAUGACACACAAAUUCGUGAAGUGUUUAAUAUUUAA